AACGAACGCUGGCGGCGUGCUUAACACAUGCAAGUCGAACGCGAAAGGGACUUCGGUCCUGAGUAAAGUGGCGCACGGGUGAGUAACGCGUGGAUAAUCUACCCGACGGACCGGGAUAACAUUUCGAAAGGGGUGCUAAUACCGGAUAAGACCACGGGCUCUUCGGGGCUUGGGGUAAAAGGUGGGGACCUUCGGGCCUACCGUCAUCGGAUGAGUCCGCGUACCAUUAGCUAGUUGGUGGGGUAAAGGCCUACCAAGGCGACGAUGGUUAGCUGGUCUGAGAGGAUGAUCAGCCACACUGGAACUGAGACACGGUCCAGACUCCUACGGGAGGCAGCAGUGGGGAAUUUUGCGCAAUGGGGGAAACCCUGACGCAGCAACGCCGCGUGAGUGAUGAAGGCCUUCGGGUCGUAAAGCUCUGUCAGAGGGGAAGAAGUGCAUGGGCGCUAAUAUCGCUUAUGCUUGACGGUA
Molecule: ribosomal RNA, 471 nt
Filed under: uncultured bacterium
Lineage: Bacteria
Description: bacterial SSU rRNA
Rfam family: Bacterial small subunit ribosomal RNA
Source: RNAcentral